Long non-coding RNA from Daphnia pulicaria, 299 nucleotides. RefSeq lists it as uncharacterized. The record is from RefSeq and is a predicted model, not a curated record. NCBI's taxonomy places the organism in Eukaryota, Metazoa, Arthropoda, Branchiopoda, Diplostraca, Daphniidae. The transcript has 3 exons.
UCCUGGAAGAUUUUCUACUUGUAUGUAUGUAUGUCUCAAUUUAUAUAGCGCACUAUCGCAUGGAACUGAAUCCCGAUCUAAUGACGCUGUUUCGUUUCCAAUUUGGAAGAUGUGAUUGAACACAUCACCGUAUGUUUAACGUCAUAUCCUUGAAAGCAAUCAAGGAUCCCUGUGUUAUGCGUGCUGCCUUCCGUCGGCGCGACUGCUACAGGUUUUUGACGGGUUCAGCUGGGUUUCGAAACCAGAGCCUCAUUGCCUUUUUUCCAAAGUGUUGACGCUCUAAUCCACUACACCACCAC